GGCUAUUUGAGUGCUUCGCUGAGGAGGGCUUUUCUCGGCUGUAAAUAGGCCGGGGAAUAAGGGGAGGGCAAGUCUGGUGUCAGCCGCCGCGGUAAUACCAGCUCCUCGAGUGGUCGGGACGAUUAUGGGCCUAAAGCACCCGUAGCCGGUUCAGCAAGUCCUCUGUUAAAUCCAAUCGCUCAACGGUUGGCACGCAGAGGAUACUGCCGGACUAGGAGGCGGGAGAGGCGGACGGUACUCCGCGUGUAGGGGUAAAAUCCUUUGAUCCGCGGAAGACCACCAGUGGCGAAGGCGGUCCGCCAGAACGCGCUCGACGGUGAGGGGUGAAAGCUGGGGGAGCGAACCGGAUUAGAUACCCGGGUAGUCCCAGCCGUAAACGAUGCGAGCUAGAUGAUUCAAUCGCAAUUCGCGAUCGAAGUGUCGCAGGGGAGCCGUUAAGCUCGCCGCCUGGGGAGUACGGUCGCAAGGCUGAAUUGUCGGUGAUAUGCAUCGCCGGCACAGUUCACUUAAAGGAAUUGGCGGGGGAGCACCACAAGGGGUGAAGCCUGCGGUUCAAUUGGAGUCAACGCCAGGAAACUUACCAGGAGCGACAGCAGGAUGAGGGUCAGGCUGAAGACUUUACCUGACGAGCUGAGAGGAGGUGCAUGGCCGUCGCCAGCUCGUGCCGUGAGGCGUCCUGUUAAGUCAGGCAACGAGCGAGACCCUUGCCGAUAAUUGCUAGCCGCGGUCGCAAUACCGCGGAAGCUAGUUAUUGGGACUGCCGCUGCUAAAGCGGAGGAAGGAGAGGGCUACGGCAGGUCAGUAUGCCCCGAAACUCCUGGGCCACACGCGGGCUGCAUGGUAGGGACAUAAGUUCCAACCUCGAAAGAGGAAGGCAAUCUUCAACCCUACCCCAGUUGUGAUUGAGGGCUGAAACCCGCCCCUCAUGAAUAUGAAUCCCUAGUACCGCGUCAUCCCGCCGAUGU
RNAcentral lists this ribosomal RNA (965 nucleotides) under uncultured archaeon. RNAcentral describes it as "bacterial SSU rRNA". It matches the Rfam family "Archaeal small subunit ribosomal RNA", at positions 375 to 1320 of the family's 1478-position model. The record is from RNAcentral.